GUGGGGAAUAUCGGACAAUGGGCGAAAGCCUGAUCCAGCCAUGCCGCGUGUGUGAAGAAGGUCUUCGGAUUGUAAAGCACUUUAAGUUGGGAGGAAGGGCAGUAAGUUAAUACCUUGCUGUUUUGACGUUACCGACAGAAUAAGCACCGGCUAACUUCGUGCCAGCAGCCGCGGUAAUACGAAGGGUGCAAGCGUUAAUCGGAAUUACUGGGCGUAAAGCGCGCGAAGGUGGUUUUGUAAGUUGGAGGUGAAAUCCCCGGGCUCAACCGGGGAACUGCAUUCAAAACUGCAUGACUAGAGUACAGUAGAGGGUAGUGGAAUUUCCUGUGUAGCGGUGAAAUGCGUAGAUAUAGGAAGGAACACCAGUGGCGAAGGCGACUACCUGGACUGAUACUGACACUGAGGUGCGAAAGCGUGGGGAGCAAACAGGAUUAGAUACCCUAGUAGUCC
This 450-nucleotide ribosomal RNA is filed under the name uncultured bacterium. RNAcentral describes it as "partial 16S ribosomal RNA". It matches the Rfam family "Bacterial small subunit ribosomal RNA", at positions 354 to 796 of the family's 1533-position model. The record is from RNAcentral.